RNAcentral lists this non-coding RNA (29 nucleotides) under Rattus norvegicus (Norway rat). Lineage: Eukaryota; Metazoa; Chordata; Mammalia; Rodentia; Muridae. The record is from RNAcentral.
UGUUAACCUAAACAACUCUCAUCCCCCAA